UUAUUAUCUCAGCCUUUUAGCAAAGUUCAGGUGUAAUAUCUGUUUUCAUCAGUUUAAUAUCUGAUACGUUCCCUAUCUACAAGUGCUCGCUUUGGCAGCACGUAUACUAAAAAAAAAAAAAAUUAUAUUAUAAGAUACAGAGAUUAGCAUGGUCUUGCAGUCCGCAUCCACUCGAAGUUCAAAACCG
This is a small nuclear RNA of Pseudophryne corroboree (corroboree frog), 187 nucleotides long. RefSeq annotates it as U2 spliceosomal RNA. The record is from RefSeq and is a predicted model, not a curated record. The transcript has a single exon. Lineage: Eukaryota; Metazoa; Chordata; Amphibia; Anura; Myobatrachidae.